This 29-nucleotide non-coding RNA is filed under the name Rattus norvegicus (Norway rat). The record is from RNAcentral. Lineage: Eukaryota; Metazoa; Chordata; Mammalia; Rodentia; Muridae.
UAGACAGAGCAUCUGAGGCCGCUCCCUGA